Long non-coding RNA from Mastacembelus armatus (zig-zag eel), 613 nucleotides. Lineage: Eukaryota; Metazoa; Chordata; Actinopteri; Synbranchiformes; Mastacembelidae. The record is from Ensembl.
GACCAGGAAAUUACUGAGCAUAACUUUAAAAAUUGUUCUUUCAUGAGCCAAAGAUUUUGCUUUUUCCUACAGGAUUUCUAAGGUGAUGUUCAGUGGGCCAUACAAAAUAUUCAACAGUACAAUGGGACCAGGAUAUUUCAGCCUGAAAUGGACCCCGUCUCAGAGGGAAGAUGGAGAAAGCCAUCCCAUCUGUUUUGUCGUCACUGCAGUUCACAAUGGGGCCAGUUAUCAGUCAGACCUACGAUGUGUCAUUGUGAGUGUUGUGGAUCGUGUGGUGCUAUCCACUCCAGAGGGACUCUAUCUGCCCUGGUUCCUGCCUCCAACCCCAGACAACAGAGCUCGGCUGUACACCGGUGUCAAUCAGACGGUGGAAAUCAGAAUCAUAGCUGAGACCUACAUCUCCACUAUUUCUAAGCUGAUGUUCAGUGGGCCAUACAACAUAAUUAAAGACACAAUGGGACCAGGAUAUUUCAGCCUGAAAUGGACCCCGUUUCAGAAGGAAGAUGGAGAAAGCCAUCCCAUCUGUUUUGUCGUCACUGCAGUUCACAAGUCAGCGUCUACAUUGUUCUCAUUAACUUACAGAUCUGUGAACAUGAUCAUGCUACAGUGUUAA